Molecule: ribosomal RNA, 368 nt
Filed under: uncultured organism
Description: bacterial SSU rRNA
Rfam family: Bacterial small subunit ribosomal RNA
Source: RNAcentral
CGUAGGUGGCAAGCGUUGUCCGGAUUUAUUGGGUUUAAAGGGUGCGUAGGCGGCCUAUUAAGUCAGUGGUGAAAUAUUUCAGCUUAACUGGAAUUGUGCCAUUGAUACUGAUGGGCUUGAGUACAGAUGAGGUAGGCGGAAUUGACGGUGUAGCGGUGAAAUGCUUAGAUAUCGUCAAGAACACCUAUAGCGAAGGCAGCUUACUAGGCUGUAACUGACGCUGAGGCACGAAAGUGUGGGGAUCAAACAGGAUUAGAUACCCUGGUAGUCCACACUGUAAACGUUGAUUACUCGCUGUGUGCGAUAUACAGUACGCGGCCAAGCGAAAGCGCUAAGUAAUCCACCUGGGGAGUACGCCGGCAACGGUG